Molecule: microRNA precursor, 87 nt
Organism: Bos indicus x Bos taurus (hybrid cattle)
Lineage: Eukaryota; Metazoa; Chordata; Mammalia; Artiodactyla; Bovidae
Source: Ensembl
UGUCCCUGAGAGCCUGCAGGUGACGAGGACACCACAGAGACGGAAGUGGUGGCACCUCAGCAUCUGCAGAGGCCCCACCGGAGGAAU